This is a non-coding RNA of Theobroma cacao (cacao), 620 nucleotides long. NCBI's taxonomy places the organism in Eukaryota, Viridiplantae, Streptophyta, Magnoliopsida, Malvales, Malvaceae. The record is from RefSeq and is a predicted model, not a curated record.
CAAGGGAAAAUUGGUGGAUUUCAAGUAAUCAAGCAAUCAAAGGUGGUGAGUCCUCCGACAAGGGCAAGGAAAUUAUACUCGAGGAUCGAUAAUUGGAGUACUAUAGAAAUUCGACUCCUGAAAUAGCUCAGAAUAGACUGUACAUAGUUGAUCACAUCAAGGACUACCAUUGGAAUUGCAUUUUCCAAACUUUCAUUUUUAAAUUGCUCGGAAGGUUUUCGCAGUUAAGCAAUGGUGUUACUUCCAAAGGUGGCAUUUGUUCUCAACUUGUAAAGUUAGCUAAAAAUUUCAAAGUCAUCAUAUGAUUGGAAUUAAAACUUGUUUCAUUUUAGGAAUGGAGAUGGAGACUUCUCAAAAAAACCCUAUGUUUGCACCCAACCUAGGACAAAUAUUAUUCUUUGUCAAGGAUGCCUGUCUUGGCAAGGUUUUAAGGCAUGAUAAGAUCCAAAUUUAUCACUCUAUUUAAGGUGAUGGAUAAAAUUUACCACCCAUCGUGAUUUUACUAUUUUACUUUUUAAUUUGAUUCAACAAUAGUCAAAAGGUAGAAUGUUGCUUUUUGUCUUAUUAAUUGUUAUAAACAGGCGAAGAAUAGAAAAGGGUUUUAUGUCUCUUCAUCUUAA